Teleopsis dalmanni is the source of this 994-nucleotide long non-coding RNA. RefSeq lists it as uncharacterized. The transcript has 3 exons. The record is from RefSeq and is a predicted model, not a curated record. Lineage: Eukaryota; Metazoa; Arthropoda; Insecta; Diptera; Diopsidae.
CUCUCGAAUGAAGUGUAUGGUGAUGUUGUUUCGUGUCGGAAAAGAAUCCUAAUCAAUUCUAAGUAGAAGUGUAAAAAAUGCAUUAAAGUUAGAAACGAAAUCAAAGCAAAAUAAAAAUCACAGUAUGUGAAGAGUAAAAAGGAAAACUACACCAUUAAGAAUUUAUUUAACUAAAAAAAAAACAAAAGCAAGGUAUGAACGGAAUUACUCGCGCAAGAGCAGCAACAACUAAAAAACAACGUCGACGUUAACGUUUGUUGCUUUUACGUAUUGUUGUUUUUUAAGUGUCCGCUGUGGGUAGUAAAGACAGAAAAACAAAAGAAAAAAUCAAAUUAAACCUUAUGCACACUGUAGUUGUUUUUGGCGAUUGUUGGUGUUGUAUUCACACUGCAAAUGCAUAGUGUUGAAUACAUAAAGCAUAAAUGAAAUAACAGGGCGACGACGCGUGUUCUCGCUUAUACUGAUGCUCUGCACAGUCAACUGUAAAGUUAAACAUAGUAGCGACUCAUUUAGAUAACAACACUACAACAACAAUAGUACACACCAGACAUAUAGACUAUAUGAAUUUAAGAAUUUAAUGGCAAUUUCUUUGAAUUAAAUAACUUUAAAAUGUGUAGUGAAUCUAUAUUUAUAUCUAUAUACGGUAAUAAACUGUAAUUUAAAGCAGAGAAAAUAAUAACUAAUGAUAAUAUUGCAAUGAGAUUUAUUUAUAAAUAAACACAAAGCUCACAUAAUUUGUGGAAAUUCUAAAAAUAAUAUCGUAAACAUGAUGAUGGAAACAAAAAUAAGCGUCUGUAAUAAAUCAGCUAACUUAAAAUUACCGCAUAAAUCAAUGUUAAAUAUUUAUUUGAUGUUAUAUGGCUGAUGCUCAAAUUUUUUUAAUAUUAACAUUGAAAAUCCGUCCGAUUUGCUGUGUAUAAACAACGACGGUGCUAUUAUCAUCAUCGGAAAGAAAUAUUGAAUUUAUAUUUCUAAUAAAUUUGCAUUAAAUGUG